RNAcentral lists this ribosomal RNA (492 nucleotides) under uncultured bacterium. RNAcentral's name for it is "partial 16S ribosomal RNA". It matches the Rfam family "Bacterial small subunit ribosomal RNA", at positions 29 to 507 of the family's 1533-position model. The record is from RNAcentral.
AGUGAACGCUGGCGGUAGGCCUAACACAUGCAAGUCGAACGGCAGCACAGUAAGAGCUUGCUCUUACGGGUGGCGAGUGGCGUACGUGUGAGGAAUACAUCGGAAUCUACUUUUUCGUGGGGGAUAACGUAGGGAAACUUACUCUAAUACCGCAUACGACCUACGGGUGAAAGCAGGGGAUCUUCGGACCUUGCGCGAUUGAAUGAGCCGAUGUCGGAUUAGCUAGUUGGCGGGGUAAAGGCCCACCAAGGCGACGAUCCGUAGCUGGUCUGAGAGGAGGAUAGGCCACAUGGGAACUGGAACAGGGUCCAGACGCCUGAGGGAGGCAGCAGUGGGGAAUAUUGGACAAUGGGCGCAAGCAUGAUCCAGCCAUACCGCGUGGGUGAAGAAGGCCUUCGGGUUGUAAAGCCCUUUUGUUGGGAAAGAAAAGCAGCAGGUUAAUACCACGCUGUUCUGACGGUACCCAAAGAAUAAGCACCGGCUAACUUCGUG